Molecule: non-coding RNA, 793 nt
Organism: Oryzias latipes (Japanese medaka)
Lineage: Eukaryota; Metazoa; Chordata; Actinopteri; Beloniformes; Adrianichthyidae
Source: RefSeq, a predicted model, not a curated record
UUUGAUUUAAUUUGUUUUUUAAUUUUGCAUUUUAUUGCGUUUUUGUGUGGAGUGAUCUACACAACAGGAGAGCAACAGUGAGAACGUGAGGCUGCAAAAGGAAAUAGAGUGAGUCCAUAACUGGAAAUAUGUCAGGAUAUGCAUUUGUUUUGAAGUCUACAUGUCAAACAGGAGAGGUGAUCUGAAGAAGAAAAACGUAAGAAUUUAUAUGAUCAAAUAACAAUUUCAGGUGGGAAGAAUUUAAUACAGUUGUCAACUAUUUUUAAAUUCUUUUGAAUCUUAUAAGAUAGUACAAUUUUCUGUAACAGGCUACAAUAGUUUGUAAUAUUUUGGCUUUAAUAGUUAAUAAUAUAUUUUAUUUUGUAGAUUCAGAGUUAAUAUGUCGUUAGAAACAGAAUGUACAUGCAGCUGAAAUUUAUAUAUUUUAUUGAAGUUCAUGGGUUGUGAAAUGUUUAAUAAUUGGUGAUUUAAUUUUUAUUCCUUUGGAGUGUACAGUGAAUUUUGUUUGAAUUAUGUUCAGAAGAAUUGGAUUAAUCUCGUAAGAAUUUGAGCCUUUUAUGUUGGCCGCAGGUGAGCACGGUCUUUUGCUCACGAGGUUGCAGCAAUUAGAAGUUCAAGCUGGGAGAAAGAGCUGCAAAAAGAAAUACCUUGGACUCAAAGAGACUCUUUUUCUUGACAAGCGGAAACGAGUUUUCACGGCGUAAUGAAGGCGUAAUGAAAGCGAAGGCACGCAAUGUCCCACAAGAAGUGUGAUGACCUGCAGAAGUGCAAAUAAACGCCCGUUGUAAACCGA